RNAcentral lists this ribosomal RNA (501 nucleotides) under uncultured bacterium. RNAcentral describes it as "bacterial SSU rRNA". It matches the Rfam family "Bacterial small subunit ribosomal RNA", at positions 26 to 518 of the family's 1533-position model. The record is from RNAcentral.
GCUAGGAUGAACGCUAGCUACAGGCUUAACACAUGCAAGUCGAGGGGCAGCAUAUCGAAAGCUUGCUUUGAUGAUGGCGACCGGCGCACGGGUGAGUAACGCGUAUCCAACCUUCCCUAUACUAGAGGAUAGCCCGGCGAAAGUCGGAUUAAUACUCUAUGUUCUUCGUAGAAGACAUCUGAAAUGAAGCAAAGGUUUACCGGUAUAGGAUGGGGAUGCGUCUGAUUAGGUGUUGGCGGGUAACGGCCCACCAAGCCCACGAUCAGUAGGGUCUGAGAGGAAGGUCCCCCACAUUGGAACUGAGACACGGUCCAAACUCCUACGGGAGGCAGCAGUGAGGAAUAUUGGUCAAUGGACGAGAGUCUGAACCAGCCAAGUAGCGUGCAGGAUGACGGCCCUAUGGGUUGUAAACUGCUUUUAUACAGGGAUAAAGUGACGUACGUGUACGUUUUUGUAGGUACUGUAUGAAUAAGGACCGGCUAAUUCCGUGCCAGCCGCUGC